UACGGAGGGUGCAAGCGUUAUCCGGAUUCACUGGGUUUAAAGGGUGUGUAGGCGGACUAUUAAGUCCGAGGUGAAAUCUCCGAGCUUAACUCGGAAACUGCCUUGGAUACUAUUAGUCUUGAAUAUCGUUGAGGUAGGCGGAAUAUGUCAUGUAGCGGUGAAAUGCUUAGAUAUGACAUAGAACACCGAUUGCGAAGGCAGCUUGCUAAACGAUGAUUGACGCUGAGGCACGAAAGCGUGGGGAUCAAACAGG
RNAcentral lists this ribosomal RNA (253 nucleotides) under uncultured bacterium. RNAcentral's name for it is "partial 16S ribosomal RNA". It matches the Rfam family "Bacterial small subunit ribosomal RNA", at positions 524 to 776 of the family's 1533-position model. The record is from RNAcentral.